GUGCUAGCUUCGGCAGCACAUACACUAAAAUUGGAACAAUACAGAGAAGAUUAGCAUGGUCCCUGCGCAAGGAUGACACACAAAUUCAUGAAGCGUUCCUUAUUUUU
This is a small nuclear RNA of Balaenoptera musculus (blue whale), 107 nucleotides long. The record is from Ensembl. Lineage: Eukaryota; Metazoa; Chordata; Mammalia; Artiodactyla; Balaenopteridae.